RNAcentral lists this long non-coding RNA (1372 nucleotides) under Sus scrofa (pig). Its description in RNAcentral is "lncRNA (ENSSSCG00015002857.1)". The record is from RNAcentral. Lineage: Eukaryota; Metazoa; Chordata; Mammalia; Artiodactyla; Suidae.
AUUUACCACAUGGGAAGUAAAGGUUGUUAAGCUACUAAGAAAUCAAAUGGUACAUAUGAGAUUUAUUUAAUUACUCCAAAGAAUGAUCUAUUAUAUUACCCUUGAAAACCAUUCUAAAUGACGUAGAAUCCAUUUAGUUUUCUGCUGAAUUAUGUAGCAUUACCAACAAUUUAACAGACACAUGAAAAUGUGUGGAGAAACACUAAAAAACAGAAGUUUUAUUGAGUUAAAUAUUAAGAUAAGUGACAGUAAAUUUUAAAAUAUUCAAUUUACUUCCAGAGGAACAUUUUUCCAUAUGUGACAAUUGGCUGCUGACUUUAGCACUGGAAUAAGACAGAAAUCAGAGAACCUAAUUAAAGAGCUAAGAGAACAUCUGGAAAUUCAGGAAAUAUUGCUUAGAUAGUAAAGAUGCUUUGUAAUUUUUAUCAUAUAUAAUAGUGCUGCCCUAAAAAACAUUUAACCUUCUUACUUUGGGGCAAAAGGUAGGACAAUAGUCAAUUUUAUAUCUCCUUGUACAUAUUUUUAUCUUUGAAUCCCCAGCACUGAAGUCCAUGUUCUAUGAAUAAUUGUUGAAUAAAUGAUUUAAUGAAAAGUAAUAAUAAGGAACCUAUCUUUAUGCUGAAUUUAUAUAAAUCAUUGUAAGCAUUUUUGCCUACAAGAAGUUGGUAGAUUCUUACCCUAUCUUUACCAAAGACAUAAUAAUUCCCUCCUAACAUAUAGUUCCACCAUCAAGUGCCAUUUUUAUUUAAAUACAGUCAUGAUUUGCAACUGUAACUUUUUUAAACUUCCUGAGACAAUAUCCUAAACUAUUGAAAUAUAUACUAGAGCUCUUCUAGCAGAAUUUUGUAUGACAUAUAUUUUCUCCAAAAAUAUAUAUAUUUCUUAUAGAAAAUUUUUUAUAAAAACAAGAAAAUAAAACUCCAUUUUACCAUCUAGAAACAAUAAUGGUGAGAUCUACUUUUGGAAUACGUACAUAAUGAGACCAAACUAUGUAAAAAAUUUUCUGCCUUUCUCUUUUCACUGAAUAUUAUGAUAGAAACCUUUUAUCAUGCUACUAAAACUUCUCAUAAAUGUUGUCUUUAAAUAUAAUGAAAUAAUCUAGAAUGGAGAGCUAUGGUAAUUACUUUAACCAUUAUGUUACAUGAUUUGCUAUUUUUAGUUCCUUUGGAAACAAAUCUGACUAGCAUCCAUGAGGAUGCAGGUUCGACCCUGGUCUUGCUCAGUGGAUUAAGGAUCCGGCGUUGCUGUUAGCUGUGGUGUAGGUUGCAGAUGUGGCUCAGAUCCUGCAUUGCUGUGGCUGUAGUGUAGGCCGGCGGCUACAGCUCCGAUUUGACGCCUAGCCUGGGAACCUCCAUAUGCCACGGGUGUGGCC